AUUGAACGCUGGCGGCAUGCCUUACACAUGCAAGUCGAACGGCAGCCGGACCUUCGAGUGCCGGCGAGUGGCGAACGGGUGAGUAAUAUAUCGGAACGUACCUUUCAGUGGGGGAUAACGUAGCGAAAGUUACGCUAAUACCGCAUAUUCUGUGAGCAGGAAAGCAGGGGAUCGCAAGACCUUGCGCUGAUUGAGCGGCCGAUAUCAGAUUAGCUAGUUGGUGAGGUAAAGGCUCACCAAGGCGACGAUCUGUAGCGGGUCUGAGAGGAUGAUCCGCCACACUGGAACUGAGACACGGUCCAGACUCCUACGGGAGGCAGCAGUGGGGAAUUUUGGACAAUGGGCGCAAGCCUGAUCCAGCCAUGCCGCGUGAGUGAAGAAGGCCUCGGUU
This 391-nucleotide ribosomal RNA is filed under the name uncultured bacterium. RNAcentral's name for it is "bacterial SSU rRNA". It matches the Rfam family "Bacterial small subunit ribosomal RNA", at positions 30 to 424 of the family's 1533-position model. The record is from RNAcentral.